This 253-nucleotide ribosomal RNA is filed under the name uncultured Lactobacillus sp. RNAcentral's name for it is "partial 16S ribosomal RNA". It matches the Rfam family "Bacterial small subunit ribosomal RNA", at positions 524 to 776 of the family's 1533-position model. Lineage: Bacteria; Bacillati; Bacillota; Bacilli; Lactobacillales; Lactobacillaceae. The record is from RNAcentral.
UACGUAGGUGGCAAGCGUUAUCCGGAAUUAUUGGGCGUAAAGAGCGCGCAGGUGGUUAAUUAAGUCUGAUGUGAAAGCCUUCGGCUUAACCGGAGUAGUGCAUUGGAAACUGGGAGACUUGAGUGCAGAAGAGGAGAGUGGAACUCCAUGUGUAGCGGUGAAAUGCGUAGAUAUUAGGAGGAACACCAGUGGCGAAGGCGGCUUACUGGACUGUAACUGACGUUGAGGCUCGAAAGCGUGGGGAGCAAACAGG